RNAcentral lists this ribosomal RNA (439 nucleotides) under uncultured bacterium. RNAcentral's name for it is "bacterial SSU rRNA". It matches the Rfam family "Bacterial small subunit ribosomal RNA", at positions 331 to 784 of the family's 1533-position model. The record is from RNAcentral.
CCAGACUCCUACGGGAGGCAGCAGUGGGGAAUAUUGGGCAAUGGGCGCAAGCCUGACCCAGCAAUGCCGCGUGAAGGAAGAAGGCCCUCGGGUUGUAAACUUCUUUUAUCAGGGACGAAGGAUGUGACGGUACCUGAUGAAUAAGCUCCGGCUAACUACGUGCCAGCAGCCGCGGUAAUACGUAGGGAGCAAGCGUUAUCCGGAUUUACUGGGUGUAAAGGGCGCGUAGGCGGGAUAACAAGUUAGUUGUGAAAACCCGCGGCUCAACUGAGGAACUGCAACUAAAACUAUUAUUCUUGGGUGCAGGAGGGGAAAGUGGAAUUCCUGGUGUAGCGGUGAAAUGCGUAGAUAUUAGGAAGAACGCCAGUGGCGAAGGCGACUUUCUGGACUGUAGCUGACGUUGAGGCACGAAAGUGUGGGGAGCAAACAGGAUUAGAUA